Molecule: transfer RNA, 68 nt
Filed under: Procyon lotor (raccoon)
Lineage: Eukaryota; Metazoa; Chordata; Mammalia; Carnivora; Procyonidae
Description: transfer RNA-Lys
Rfam family: tRNA
About the family: Transfer RNA (tRNA) molecules are approximately 80 nucleotides in length. Their secondary structure includes four short double-helical elements and three loops (D, anti-codon, and T loops).
Source: RNAcentral
CAUUAAGAAGCUAAACAGCGUUAACCUUUUAAGUUAAAGACUGGGAGUAACAAAUCUCCCCUUGAUGA